Molecule: long non-coding RNA, 327 nt
Filed under: Homo sapiens (human)
Lineage: Eukaryota; Metazoa; Chordata; Mammalia; Primates; Hominidae
Description: HSALNT0293130
Source: RNAcentral
CUGACCUGUGCCCACUGUCUGGCACUUCCUAGUGAGAUGAACCCGGUACCUCAGAUUGAAAUGCAGAAAUCACCCGUCUUCUGCGUCGCUCACGCUGGGAGCUGUAGACCGGAGCUGUUCCUAUUCGGCCAUCUUGGCUCCUCUCCUAGGAUUGGCAAACACAAAUCAUGUUCCAAGUUCUGCCUUCCACCUGAGUGAAAUACAUCACCGCUUUCCCUGCUCCCGCCGCCAUUAAAAUUGUGUUUGGCAUCUGACCACCAAGAUACAGAUAUUUCCUAGACUGUUUUGCAGCUAGGUACUUAGAAUGGAAGCCUCUUUGAAGAAAGU